UAUGCGAGCACGUUCGCACGUGGAGUCAGCACGCAGCCGCUGUGCUAGAAGAAAACGACGACGCCAGACCGAUCGUGAACGGUUCGACUUAUUUCCAAGCUCUGACAAGGCUGCACGCUGCCGCGACAACGGGUGGUCGCCGACAUUGCACGUGGUUCCGAACUGGACCUUGAGGAUGUGGCGCUCGAAGUGCUCGUCGGCUACCGCGUGCAGCCUUGUCUACUGCACAGCCAUCGCUCAUGCUCAAGUACAUGUUCGAGAACUUGUAUCAUCGGGCUUGGCCUGCUCCGCGUCCGGUUCCUGUUGCAUCCCACUUACGACGAGCAGAAUGCUGAGCAGCCGCCCAUAUAGUGGAUGAAAUCCAGCACGCGUUUCUGGGACCUGAACGUGUCUAUUGGACCUUUCUGACCUACGAGUUUGGCUUGCCCCGCGUCCGAUGCCUCUGGCACCCCACUUACGACGAGCCCGUUACCGAGCCAUGGACUACGUGGCGGGUGACGUCCGACCUCCACUUCUGGACCCUCCUCGUGUCUAU
Long non-coding RNA from Dermacentor silvarum, 535 nucleotides. RefSeq lists it as uncharacterized. The transcript has 4 exons. Lineage: Eukaryota; Metazoa; Arthropoda; Arachnida; Ixodida; Ixodidae. The record is from RefSeq and is a predicted model, not a curated record.